RNAcentral lists this ribosomal RNA (403 nucleotides) under Gerbera jamesonii phytoplasma. RNAcentral's name for it is "bacterial SSU rRNA". It matches the Rfam family "Bacterial small subunit ribosomal RNA", at positions 61 to 428 of the family's 1533-position model. The record is from RNAcentral. Lineage: Bacteria; Bacillati; Mycoplasmatota; Mollicutes; Acholeplasmatales; Acholeplasmataceae.
GNUGCACUAAUNCAUAGUCAGAGACCNCAACGGNAAGUUUUAAGNCAAUUAAACUUUANUGGCGAACGGGUGAGCUAACGCGUAAGUCAAUCUGUCCCCUAAGACGAGGAUAACAGUUGGAAACUACUGCUCAAGACUGGAUAGGAGACAAGAGGCCUCUUUUUGUUUUUAAAGACCUAUCAAUAAGAUUGCUUAGGGAGGAGCUUGCGUCACAUUACUUAUUGGUGGGGUAAAUGCCUACCAAGACUAUGAUGUGUAUCCGGGCUGAGAGGUUGAACGGCUACAUUGGGACUGAGACACGGCCCAAACUCCUACGGCCAGGCACCACUUUGGGAAUUUUCUGCAAUGGACGAAACUAUGACCGACAACUCCGAUGUAACUAUGAAUUAUUUUCUGUACGUAA